AGAGUUUGAUCCUGGCUCAGAACGAACGCUGGCGGCGCGUUUUAAGCAUGCAAGUCGAACGGCAUAAUGUAGCAAUACAUUAGAGAGUGGCAGACGGGUGAGUAACACGUAGAUGAUCUACCCAAGAGUUGGGGAUAGCCUCCAGAAAUGGAGGGUAAUACCGAAUAAGCUCACGACCUCAUGGGGAUGUGAGAAAAGUUCCGUUUGGAACGCUUAUGGAUGAGUCUGCGUCUGAUUAGCUAGUUGGUGAGGUAAAGGCCCACCAAGGCGACGAUCAGUAGCCGGCCUGAGAGGGUGUACGGCCACAUUGGGACUGAGAUACGGCCCAAACUCCUACGGGAGGCAGCAGCUAAGAAUCUUCCGCAAUGGACGAAAGUCUGACGGAGCGACGCCGCGUGUGCGAAGAAGGCAGAGAUGUUGUAAAGCACUUUUCUUGCUGAGGAAUAAGCAUCUUAGGAAAUGAGGAUGUGAUGACGGUAAGCGAGGAAUAAGCCCCGGCAAAUUACGUGCCAGCAGCCGCGGUAACACGUAUGGGGCAAGCGUUGUUCGGAAUCAUUGGGCGUAAAGGGUGCGUAGGCGGUUCAAUAAGUCUGAUGUGAAAUAUGUUAGCUUAACUAACAGGGUGCAUUGGAAACUAUUGGGCUUGAAUAUGGGAGAGGCAAUUGGAAUUCCUGGUGUAGGGGUGGAAUCUGUAGAUAUCAGGAAGAACAUCAGAGGCGAAGGCGGAUUGCUGGCCUAAUAUUGACGCUGAGGCACGAAAGUGUGGGGAGCAAACAGGAUUAGAUACCCUGGUAGUCCACACCGUAAACUAUGUGCACUAGAUGUUGGGGAGUUAUCCUUAGUAUCGGAGCUAACGCGGUAAGUGCACCGCCUGGGGAGUAUGCUCGCAAGGGUGAAACUCAAAGGAAUUGACGGGGGCCCGCACAAGCGGUGGAGCAUGUUGUUUAAUCCGAUCGUACGCGAGGAACCUUACCAGGGUUUGAUAUAUAAGUGAAGUUGUUAGAGAUAACAAUGCCUAGCAAUAGGCGCUUAUACGGGUGUUGCAUGGCUGUCGUCAGCUCGUGCCGUGAGGUGUUGGGUUAAGUCCCGCAACGAGCGCAACCCCUAUUGUCUGUUACUACCAGGUUAAGCUGAGGACUCAGAUAAGACUGCCGGUGACAAACUGGAGGAAGGUGGGGACGACGUCAAGUCAUCAUGACCCUUACGUCCUGGGCUACAAACGUGCUACAAUGGUCGGUACAGAGCGAAGCGAAGUCGCGAGGCGGAGCAAAUCGCAAAAAAGCCGAUCUCAGUUCAGAUUGGAGUCUGAAACUCGACUCCAUGAAGGUGGAAUCGCUAGUAAUCGCGCAUCAGAACGGCGCGGUGAAUACGUUCCCGGGCCUUGUACACACCGCCCGUCACACCACCCGAGUGGGGUGUACCCGAAGUCGCUCGUCUAACAAGCAAUGGGGGACGGUGCCGAAGGUAAACUCUGUAAGGGGGGUGAAGUCGUAACAAGGUA
RNAcentral lists this ribosomal RNA (1501 nucleotides) under metagenome. Its description in RNAcentral is "bacterial SSU rRNA". It matches the Rfam family "Bacterial small subunit ribosomal RNA". The record is from RNAcentral.